This 305-nucleotide ribosomal RNA is filed under the name uncultured bacterium. RNAcentral describes it as "bacterial SSU rRNA". It matches the Rfam family "Bacterial small subunit ribosomal RNA", at positions 337 to 659 of the family's 1533-position model. The record is from RNAcentral.
ACCUACGGGAGGCAGCAGUGGGGAAUAUUGCACAAUGGGGGAAACCCUGAUGCAGCGACGCCGCGUGGAGGAAGAAGGUCUUCGGAUUGUAAACUCCUGUCCUUGGGGACGAUAAUGACAGUACCCAAGGAGGAAGCACCGGCUAACUACGUGCCAGCAGCCGCGGUAAAACGUAGGGUGCGAGCGUUGUCCGGAAUUACUGGGUGUAAAGGGAGCGCAGGCGGAUUGACAAGUUGGGAGUGAAAACUACGGGCUCAACCCGUAACCUGCUUUCAAAACUGUCAGUCUUGAGUGGUGUAGAGGUA